RNAcentral lists this ribosomal RNA (449 nucleotides) under uncultured bacterium. RNAcentral describes it as "bacterial SSU rRNA". It matches the Rfam family "Bacterial small subunit ribosomal RNA", at positions 329 to 798 of the family's 1533-position model. The record is from RNAcentral.
UACCAGACUCCUACGGGAGGCAGCAGUGGGGGAUAUUGCACAAUGGGGGAAACCCUGAUGCAGCGAUGCCGCGUGAAUGAAGACGGCCUUCGGGUUGUAAAGUUCUGUCGCAGGGGACGAAAAUGACGGUACCCUGCAAGAAAGUUCCGGCUAACUACGUGCCAGCAGCCGCGGUAAUACGUAGGGAGCAAGCGUUGUCCGGAUUUACUGGGUGUAAAGGGAGCGUAGGCGGCGAUGCAAGUCAGAAGUGAAAGCCCGGGGCUCAACUCCGGGACUGCUUUUGAAACUGUGUUGCUAGAUUGCAGGAGAGGUAAGUGGAAUUCCUAGUGUAGCGGUGAAAUGCGUAGAUAUUAGGAGGAACACCAGUGGCGAAGGCGGCGUACUGGACGGUAAAUGACGCUGAGGCUCGAAAGCGUGGGGAGCAAACAGGAUUAGAUACCCGAGUCCCC